GACGAACGCUGGCGGCGUGCUUAACACAUGCAAGUCGAACGGAAAGGCCCUGCUUUUGUGGGGUGCUCGAGUGGCGAACGGGUGAGUAACACGUGAGUAACCUGCCCUUGACUUUGGGAUAACUUCAGGAAACUGGGGCUAACACCGGAUAGGAGCUCCUGCUGCAUGGUGGGGGUUGGAAAGUUUCGGCGGUUGGGGAUGGACUCGCGGCUUAUCAGCUUGUUGGUGGGGUAGUGGCUUACCAAGGCUUUGACGGGUAGCCGGCCUGAGAGGGUGACCGGCCACAUUGGGACUGAGAUACGGCCCAGACUCCUACGGGAGGCAGCAGCGGGGAAUAUUGCACAAUGGGCGGAAGCCUGAUGCAGCAACGCCGCGUGCGGGAUGACGGCCUUCGGGUUGUAAACCGCUUUUGCCUGUGACGAAGCGUGAGUGACGGUAAUGGGUAAAGAAGCACCGGCUAACUACGUGCCAGCAGCCGCGGUGAUACGUAGGGUGCGAGCGUUGUCCGGAUUUAUUGGGCGUAAAGGGCUCGUAGGUGGUUGAUCGCGUCGGAAGUGUAAUCUUGGGGCUUAACCCUGAGCGUGCUUUCGAUACGGGUUGACUUGAGGAAGGUAGGGGAGAAUGGAAUUCCUGGUGGAGCGGUGGAAUGCGCAGAUAUCAGGAGGAACACCAGUGGCGAAGGCGGUUCUCUGGGCCUUUCCUGACGCUGAGGAGCGAAAGCGUGGGGAGCGAACAGGCUUAGAUACCCUGGUAGUCCACGCUGUAAACGGUGGGUACUAGGUGUGGGGUCCAUUCCACGGGUUCCGUGCCGUAGCUAACGCUUUAAGUACCCCGCCUGGGGAGUACGGCCGCAAGGCUAAAACUCAAAGGAAUUGACGGGGCCCCGCACAAGCGGCGGAGCAUGCGGAUUAAUUCGAUGCAACGCGUAGAACCUUACCUGGGUUUGACAUGGAUCGGGAGUGCUCAGAGAUGGGUGUGCCUCUUUUGGGGUCGGUUCACAGGUGGUGCAUGGCUGUCGUCAGCUCGUGUCGUGAGAUGUUGGGUUAAGUCCCGCAACGAGCGCAACCCUUGUUCACUGUUGCCAGCACGUUAUGGUGGGGACUCAGUGGAGACCGCCGGGGUCAACUCGGAGGAAGGUGGGGAUGACGUCAAGUCAUCAUGCCCCUUAUGUCCAGGGCUUCACGCAUGCUACAAUGGCUGGUACAGAGAGUGGCGAGCCUGUGAGGGUGAGCGAAUCUCGGAAAGCCGGUCUCAGUUCGGAUUGGGGUCUGCAACUCGACCUCAUGAAGUCGGAGUCGCUAGUAAUCGCAGAUCAGCAACGCUGCGGUGAAUACGUUCCCGGGGCU
RNAcentral lists this ribosomal RNA (1346 nucleotides) under uncultured bacterium. RNAcentral describes it as "partial 16S ribosomal RNA". It matches the Rfam family "Bacterial small subunit ribosomal RNA", at positions 28 to 1381 of the family's 1533-position model. The record is from RNAcentral.